This 71-nucleotide transfer RNA is filed under the name Tyto alba (common barn owl). It matches the Rfam family "tRNA". From Rfam's summary of the family: Transfer RNA (tRNA) molecules are approximately 80 nucleotides in length. Their secondary structure includes four short double-helical elements and three loops (D, anti-codon, and T loops). Further hydrogen bonds mediate the characteristic L-shaped molecular structure. tRNAs have two regions of fundamental functional importance: the anti-codon, which is responsible for specific mRNA codon recognition, and the 3' end, to which the tRNAs corresponding amino acid is attached (by aminoacyl-tRNA synthetases). tRNAs cope with the degeneracy of the genetic code in two manners: having more than one tRNA (with a specific anti-codon) for a particular amino acid; and 'wobble' base-pairing, i.e. permitting non-standard base-pairing at the 3rd anti-codon position. Lineage: Eukaryota; Metazoa; Chordata; Aves; Strigiformes; Tytonidae. The record is from Rfam by way of RNAcentral.
CCAUUGGUGGUUCAGUGGUAGAAUUCUCACCUGCCACGUGGGAGGCCCAGGUUCAUUUCCUCGCCAGUGCA